RNAcentral lists this ribosomal RNA (253 nucleotides) under uncultured bacterium. Its description in RNAcentral is "partial 16S ribosomal RNA". It matches the Rfam family "Bacterial small subunit ribosomal RNA", at positions 524 to 776 of the family's 1533-position model. The record is from RNAcentral.
UACGAAGGGGGCUAGCGUUGUUCGGAAUUACUGGGCGUAAAGCGUGCGCAGGCGGUUGUGCAAGACAGAUGUGAAAUCCCCGGGCUUAACCUGGGAACUGCAUUUGUGACUGCACGGCUAGAGUGCGGCAGAGGGGGAUGGAAUUCCGCGUGUAGCAGUGAAAUGCGUAGAUAUGCGGAGGAACACCGAUGGCGAAGGCAAUCCCCUGGGCCUGCACUGACGCUCAUGCACGAAAGCGUGGGGAGCAAACAGG